CGUUGGUCAAGCGGUUAAGACACCGCCCUUUCACGGCGGUAACACGGGUUCGAAUCCCGUACG
RNAcentral lists this transfer RNA (63 nucleotides) under Listeria monocytogenes. RNAcentral's name for it is "tRNA-Glu". It matches the Rfam family "tRNA", at positions 5 to 66 of the family's 71-position model. From Rfam's summary of the family: Transfer RNA (tRNA) molecules are approximately 80 nucleotides in length. Their secondary structure includes four short double-helical elements and three loops (D, anti-codon, and T loops). Lineage: Bacteria; Bacillati; Bacillota; Bacilli; Caryophanales; Listeriaceae. RNAcentral also lists the same sequence under 2 other names. The record is from RNAcentral.